AUUGAACGCUGGCGGCAUGCCUUACACAUGCAAGUCGAACGGCAGCACGGGAGCAAUCCUGGUGGCGAGUGGCGAACGGGUGAGUAAUAUAUCGGAACGUGCCCAGUCGUGGGGAUAACGUAGCGAAAGCUACGCUAAUACCGCAUACGAUCUAUGGAUGAAAGCGGGGGAUCGCAAGACCUCGCGCGAUUGGAGCGGCCGAUAUCAGAUUAGGUAGUUGGUGAGGUAAAGGCUCACCAAGCCGACGAUCUGUAGCUGGUCUGAGAGGACGACCAGCCACACUGGGACUGAGACACGGCCCAGACUCCUACGGGAGCAGCAGUGGGGAAUUUUGGACAAUGGGCGCAAGCCUGAUCCAGCAAUGCCGCGUGCAGGAUGAAGGCCUUCGG
RNAcentral lists this ribosomal RNA (389 nucleotides) under uncultured bacterium. Its description in RNAcentral is "bacterial SSU rRNA". It matches the Rfam family "Bacterial small subunit ribosomal RNA", at positions 30 to 421 of the family's 1533-position model. The record is from RNAcentral.